UGGGAAUUUGGACGAAUGGGCGAAAGCCUGAUCCAGCAAUGCCGCGUGUGUGAAGAAGGCCUUCGGGUUGUAAAGCACUUUUGUCCGGAAAGAAAUCCUUGGCUCUAAUACAGUCGGGGGAUGACGGUACCGGAAGAAUAAGCACCGGCUAACUACGUGCCAGCAGCCGCGGUAAUACGUAGGGUGCAAGCGUUAAUCGGAAUUACUGGGCGUAAAGCGUGCGCAGGCGGUUUGCUAAGACCGAUGUGAAAUCCCCGGGCUCAACCUGGGAACUGCAUUGGUGACUGGCAGGCUAGAGUAUGGCAGAGGGGGGUAGAAUUCCACGUGUAGCAGUGAAAUGCGUAGAGAUGUGGAGGAAUACCGAUGGCGAAGGCAGCCCCCUGGGCAAUACUGACGCUCAUGCACGAAAGCGUGGGGAGCAAACAGGAUUAGAUACCCUGGUAGUCCACGCCCUAAACGAUGUCAACUAGUUGUUGGGGAUUCAUUUCCUUAGUAACGUAGCUAACGCGUGAAGUUGACCGCCUGGGGAGUACGGUCGCAAGAUC
This 545-nucleotide ribosomal RNA is filed under the name uncultured bacterium. Its description in RNAcentral is "partial 16S ribosomal RNA". It matches the Rfam family "Bacterial small subunit ribosomal RNA", at positions 357 to 895 of the family's 1533-position model. The record is from RNAcentral.